RNAcentral lists this ribosomal RNA (2539 nucleotides) under human gut metagenome. RNAcentral describes it as "bacterial LSU rRNA". It matches the Rfam family "Bacterial large subunit ribosomal RNA", at positions 14 to 2636 of the family's 2925-position model. The record is from RNAcentral.
AGAGCGCAAGGGGAAUGCCUUGGCAUCAGGAGCCGAAGAAGGACGUGACAAGCUGCGAAAAGCCUCGGGGAGGAGCAAAUAUCCAUUGAUCCGGGGAUAUCCGAAUGGGGCAACCCGGCUGGACAAUAUCCAGUCAUCCUGCGUUGAACAAAAUAGGCGUAGGAAGGGAACCGCCUGAACUGAAACAUCUAAGUAGGGCGAGGAAGAGACAUCAACCGAGAUUCCGCAAGUAGUGGCGAGCGAACGCGGAAGAGGCCAAACCGAGGGAUUUAUUCCUCGGGGUUGCGGACAGUCAUUUAGCGGAAGUUAUCUAGGAGAAGGGUCUGGGAAGGCCCGCCACAGAGGGUGAGAGCCCCGUAUCCGAAAGAGAAGGCCGUGCGACUGAAUCCAGAGUACCGCGGGACACGUGAAACCCCGUGGGAAACAGGGGGGACCACCCUCCAAGCCUAAAUACUACCUGAUGACCGAUAGAGGAGCAGUACCGUGAGGGAAAGGUGAAAAGGACCCCGGGAGGGGAGUGAAAGAGAACCUGAAACCUUGUGCUUACAAGCACUCAAAGCACGUUAAAGUGUGAUGAGGUACUUUUUGUAGAACGGUCCGGCGAGUUAUAGUAACGAGCAAGCUUAAGGUAUUCAGUACCGGAGGCGAAGCGAGAGCGAGUCUGAAUAGGGCGCAUAAAGUUCGUUGCCAUAGACCCGAAACCGGGUGACCUAACCAUGAGCAGGCUGAAGUGAGAGUAAAAUCUCAUGGAGGGCCGAACGCACGUUCGUUGCAAUGACCGGCGAUGACUUGUGGUUAGCGGAGAAAUUCCAAUCGAACUCGGAGAUAGCUGGUUCUCCCCGAAAUAGCUUUAGGGCUAGCGUUAUCUUAGAUUACCGGAGGUAAAGCACUGAAUGGGCUAGGGGGCGAUAAGCUUACUGAACCCUAUCAAACUCUGAAUGCCGGAUAAUUGAUGGAUAGCAGUCAGACAGUGUGAGAUAAGUUUCAUUGUCAAAAGGGAAACAGCCCAGACCCACAGCUAAGGUCCCAAAUGUAUGCUAAGUGGAAAACGAUGUGGAGUUGCGAAAACAACCAGGAUGUUGGCUUAGAAGCAGCCACUCAUUAAAAGAGUGCGUAAUAGCUCACUGGUCGAGUGACUCUGCGCGGAAAAUGUAACGGGGCUAAGUAUACAACCGAAGCUUGGGAUUGUCUAAAGACAGUGGUAGGGGAGCGUCGUGUAUGGGGUGAAGUCGCAUCGGAAGGAGCGGUGGACUGUACACGAGUGAGAAUGCCGGAAUGAGUAGCGAGAAUUAUGUGGGAAUCAUAAUGGCCGAAAAUCUAAGGUUUCUUGGGGAAGGUUCGUCCGCCCAAGGUAAGCCGGGAGCUAAGGCGAGGCCGCAAGGCGUAGUCGAUGCACAUACGGUAGAAAUUCCGUAGCCACCGAACCUUAAACCGGAAGGACACUUUCAGAUAGCAGAACCCAGCCGUUGGUAGAGCUGGGCGAAAGGGACUGAAAUAUAGUAGGGAAGUCUGCGAUGCUGAGAGGCGAGAAAAGCUCCGGUGUAUGCUAAGGUGCCCGUACCGCAAACCGACACAGGUAGAUGAGGAGAGAAUCCUAAGGCCAACGGGAGAAGGGUUGUUAAGGAACUCGGCAAAUUGACCCCGUAACUUCGGAAGAAGGGGAGCCCCGAAAGGGGCCGCAGUGAAUAGGCCCAAGCAACUGUUUACCAAAAACACAGGUUUAUGCUAAAUCGAAAGAUGACGUAUAUGAGCUGACGCCUGCCCGGUGCCGGAAGGUUAAGAGGAGAUGUCAGGAGCAAUCCGAAGCAUUGAAUUGAAGCCCCGGUAAACGGCGGCCGUAACUAUAACGGUCCUAAGGUAGCGAAAUUCCUUGUCAGGUAAGUUCUGACCCGCACGAAAGGCGUAACGAUUUGGGCGCUGUCUCAGCUGUAGACUCGGUGAAGUCUUAGUACCUGUGAAGAUGCAGGUUACCCGCGACUAGACGGAAAGACCCCAUGGAGCUUCACUGCAGGUUGAUAUUGGGAUUUGAUGCAGCAUGUACAGGAUAGGUAGGAGGCAAAGAGAUGGAUACGCCAGUAUUCAAGGAGCCGCUGUUGGGAUACUACCCCUGUUGUAUUGGAUUUCUAACCGGACGACGUAGAGCCGUUGACGGGACAGUGUCAGUCGGGCAGUUUGACUGGGGCGGUCGCCUCCCAAAAAGUAACGGAGGCGCCCAAAGAUACCCUCAGCUUGGAUGGAAACCAAGCGCAGAGUGCAAAGGCAAAAGGGUGUUUGACUGCGAGACCUACAAGUCGAGCAGGGACGAAAGUCGGGCUUAGUGAUCCGGCGGUGCUGAAUGGAAAGGCCGUCGCUCAACGGAUAAAAGCUACCCUGGGGAUAACAGGCUGAUCUCCCCCAAGAGUUCACAUCGACGGGGAGGUUUGGCACCUCGAUGUCGGCUCAUCGCAUCCUGGAGCUGAAGUCGGUUCCAAGGGUUGGGCUGUUCGCCCAUUAAAGCGGUACGCGAGCUGGGUUCAGAACGUCGUGAGACAGUUCGGUC